GACGAACGCUGGCGGCGUGCUUAACACAUGCAAGUCGAACGGAAAGGCCCUGCUUUUGUUGGGUGCUCGAGUGGCGAACGGGUGAGUAACACGUGAGUAACCUGCCCUUGACUUUGGGAUAACUUCAGGAAACUGGGGCUAAUACCGGAUAGGAGCUCCUGCUGCAUGGUGGGGGUUGGAAAGUUUCGGCGGUUGGGGAUGGACUCGCGGCUUAUCAGCUUGUUGGUAGGGUAGUGGCUUACCAAGGCUUUGACGGGUAGCCGGCCUGAGAGGGUGACCGGCCACAUUGGGACUGAGAUACGGCCCAGACUCCUACGGGAGGCAGCAGUGGGGAAUAUUGCACAAUGGGCGGAAGCCUGAUGCAGCAACGCCGCGUGCGGGAUGACGGCCUUCGGGUUGUAAACCGCUUUCGCCUGUGACGAAGCGUGAGUGACGGUAAUGGGUAAAGAAGCACCGGCUAACUACGUG
RNAcentral lists this ribosomal RNA (468 nucleotides) under uncultured bacterium. Its description in RNAcentral is "partial 16S ribosomal RNA". It matches the Rfam family "Bacterial small subunit ribosomal RNA", at positions 28 to 507 of the family's 1533-position model. The record is from RNAcentral.